GACGAACGCUGGCGGCGUGCCUAAUACAUGCAAGUAGAACGCACAGUUUAUACCGUAGCUUGCUACACCAUAAACUGUGAGUUGCGAACGGGUGAGUAACGCGUAGGUAACCUGCCUGGUAGCGGGGGAUAACUAUUGGAAACGAUAGCUAAUACCGCAUAAUAUUGAUUAUUGCAUGAUAAUUGAUUGAAAGAUGCUAUUGCAUCACUACCAGAUGGACCUGCGUUGUAUUAGCUAGUAGGUGAGGUAACGGCUCACCUAGGCGACGAUACAUAGCCGACCUGGGAGGGUGAUCGGCCACACUGGGACUGAGACACGGCCCAGACUCCUACGGGAGGCAGCAGUAGGGAAUCUUCGGCAAUGGACGAAAGUCUGACCGAGCAACGCCGCGUGAGUGAAGAAGGUUUUCGGAUCGUAAAGCUCUGUUGUAAGAGAAGAACGGGUGUGAGAGUGGAAAGUUCACACUGUGACGGUAUCUUACCAGAAAGGGACGGCUAACUACGUG
RNAcentral lists this ribosomal RNA (505 nucleotides) under uncultured bacterium. RNAcentral's name for it is "partial 16S ribosomal RNA". It matches the Rfam family "Bacterial small subunit ribosomal RNA", at positions 28 to 507 of the family's 1533-position model. The record is from RNAcentral.